Non-coding RNA from Paramisgurnus dabryanus, 864 nucleotides. The record is from RefSeq and is a predicted model, not a curated record. NCBI's taxonomy places the organism in Eukaryota, Metazoa, Chordata, Actinopteri, Cypriniformes, Cobitidae.
UAUAUAUAUAUAUUUGUUUUACAACUGACUUAACACUUACAGUAAUGUUUUAUUUGUUAGCAUAGCAUGAUAUUAGAUUUAAACACUUAAUACAUUUUUAAAUCAAUCACUUUGUCUCUGCACAAUGAACAUUAUCAAAUAUUAUUAAUGUUGUAAAAUAUAUUGUUCAUUGUUAGUUCAUAUUAGCUAAGGCAUUACCAAAUGUUAAGGAAUAAACUCUUAUAGUAAAGUGUUACUAAAUUUUCUUUUACCAUUUCCUUCACAAUGUCUACUUAUUUCUAUGGCUAACAGAUUUUGUAACAUUUGUCUUUUUUACAGUCUUACCAUUGCUUGUAAGCUGGAUUGGGUAAGAUGGAUCAUCUUUAAAGGCACCAGGAGUUAAGGCAGAUGUGGAGGCACAAUGGGUGACACCAGACACACACCAAGCACAUUAUGUUCGGACAUUCAAUCAUGACAUGAUCCAUGUGGAUGCUGUCCAUUGAGGAAAGAGUUUGUUCCGAGGUUUCUGGAUAGAAUUAAUUCCAAAGAUGGGAAAAAAUGCACAUCCAGACAAGGAGCAAGCAAAAAGACAAGGAACUUGGUGCAGAGAAAAGCUGUGGCCAUUAACCCCCAUGUGAACAGCUUCAUGCAGUCCCUGAUUGAGUUCGAAUGGACGACUUCAAAGUAAAGGCCACUGUGGUCUGUCUGCCAGUUUAAUGCAUUUAUUUUUAGUGUUAAAUGAAAUUCAAGUAGAAUAUUUAAAACUAUGGGCCAGUGUUCUUUUUACCACAGUGAAAUGUUACCUUUUAGUUGAUGAUGGACUUUAAACUGAAAACUUCAAACUAUGGAACAGUGUUCUAUUUGCCAGAGUUAAAUAUGUUACAG